UACGAAAGGUGCGAGCGUUACUCGGAAUCACUGGGCGUAAAGCGCACGUAGGCGGACUUACAGGUCAAUUGUGAAAUACCUGGGCUCAACCCAGGAACUGCAGUUGAAACCGUUUGUCUUGAAUACUUGAGAGGGUGGGGGAAUACCUGGUGGAGAAGUGAAAUUCGUAGAGAUCAGGUGGAACACCGGAGGCGAAGGCGCCUGCCUGGCAAUGUAUUGACGCUGAGGUGCGAAAGUGCGGGGAGCAAACAGG
RNAcentral lists this ribosomal RNA (253 nucleotides) under uncultured bacterium. Its description in RNAcentral is "partial 16S ribosomal RNA". It matches the Rfam family "Bacterial small subunit ribosomal RNA", at positions 524 to 776 of the family's 1533-position model. The record is from RNAcentral.